Regulatory RNA element from Francisella tularensis subsp. tularensis, 150 nucleotides. It matches the Rfam family "FMN riboswitch aptamer (RFN element)". Rfam says of the family: The RFN element is a highly conserved domain that is found frequently in the 5'-untranslated regions of prokaryotic mRNAs that encode for flavin mononucleotide (FMN) biosynthesis and transport proteins. This element is a metabolite-dependent riboswitch that directly binds FMN in the absence of proteins. The record is from Rfam. NCBI's taxonomy places the organism in Bacteria, Pseudomonadati, Pseudomonadota, Gammaproteobacteria, Thiotrichales, Francisellaceae.
AAUAAUCUUCAGGGCAGGGCGAAAUUCCCUACCGGCGGUAACUGCUUAUAGCAGAAGCCCGCGAGCGCUUUCUAAUAAAAAUAGAGAGGUCAAGCAGAUUUGGUGUAAUUCCAAAGCCGACAGUUAAAGUCUGGAUGAAAGAAGAUUGAG